AUCUUCCACAAUGGACGGAAGUCUGAUGGCGCAACGCCGCGUGAGCGUAGAAGGAUUUCGGAUCGUAAAGCUCUGUUGUAAGGGAAGAACACGUACGAGAGUCACCGCCCUUACUUUGCCGUUACCUUAUCGAAUAGCCACGUGUAACUACGUGCAGGUAGCCGCGGUAAUACGUAGGUGGCAAGCGUUGUCCGGAAUUAUUGGGCGUAAAGCGCGCGCAGGCGGUCCUUUAAGUCUGAUGUGAAAGCCCACGGCUCAACCGUGGAGGGUCAUUGGAAACUGGAGGACUUGAGUACAGAAGAGGAAAGCGGAAUUCCACGUGUAGCGGUGAAAUGCGUAGAGAUGUGGAGGAACACCAGUGGCGAAGGCGGCUUUCUGGUCUGUAACUGACGCUGAGGCGCGAAAGCGUGGGGAGCAAACAG
Molecule: ribosomal RNA, 422 nt
Filed under: uncultured bacterium
Lineage: Bacteria
Description: partial 16S ribosomal RNA
Rfam family: Bacterial small subunit ribosomal RNA
Source: RNAcentral